RNAcentral lists this long non-coding RNA (950 nucleotides) under Carica papaya (papaya). RNAcentral's name for it is "long non-coding RNA (CPAP_LNC013660)". Lineage: Eukaryota; Viridiplantae; Streptophyta; Magnoliopsida; Brassicales; Caricaceae. The record is from RNAcentral.
GAUGGCUGGCUCUCUCUUACACCUCUGAUUAAAUCUUCACAAAUUAUGCAAGGAUAAUGCACCUAUCUUGCUGAAUGCAGAAUCUAACUUCUCUUAGGAUAUCCAACAAAUAAAUCAUUUGCUGCCAUUGUUCUCCGUUGUUGAUAGGUUGGAUGCUGUAUUGAAUAAGAAACUAACUACAGAUAAAAAGAAUAUUUGAAAAAAGUCUGCAGCCUCUUAGCUGCCCAUGGAAAAGAAAAUGACAUGAAUAAGAAGACCUCAGACAAUUUCUAGGAGAUGAGCAUUUCAAGUACCUUGCCGUUGACCUGUCUUCUUAUCUUUGGGUAGAAUAAUCUCAAUCACAUUUCCAUAUUCUUGAAACAAAGCACGAAUCUAAGGUGAAUGAGAAGUACCCAAAAGUUAUUCAAAUGACUAAAUGUAAUAAGUAGCACAGACAAACAAGCAAUGCACAGAAGUUACACAAAUUAAUAGUUAUAGGAAGCCAAAGUAAUGCUAACAAUUUCAACAAGAAGAUCAUAAAAAUUGCUGUAGCUUUUAAACUCUAUCCACCUCAUGAAAAAAGAAUGGACCAUAACUUUUCAGUGAUACCAAUGAUAUCAAGUCUAAUAAUAAAUACUAAUCUCCCCUUCCUCCCUCUUGUUCUUUGUGAGAAUCUCUUUAUUAGUAGGUAUUGUCUCAACGACACCGGAUUGGAGAGUGUAUACUUAUGAACAUCAAACACAAAUGAUUCAUAGGCCUGAAGAUAAUUGCUGAGUAGAGUAAUAUAAAAGUAAAGCGGGGAGAAAGGGAAGGAGGGAAUCCUCUCCAUUCUUUCCAUUGUUUGGAUAAAUUAAGAACUCGUGAAGGAAAAGAGAGUUAGAGUACACUAAAUUGUGUUGUACCUUUAAUUGCUUAUCGUGACAUUUUUAUUAAUAACGUACAUUAUUGACAAUUUUUUACCACAAAUACAU